Molecule: long non-coding RNA, 272 nt
Filed under: Dromaius novaehollandiae (emu)
Lineage: Eukaryota; Metazoa; Chordata; Aves; Casuariiformes; Dromaiidae
Description: lncRNA (ENSDNVG00000017690.1)
Source: RNAcentral
UGGCAAUAUCCGCAGCUACUCGGCAUUACACACAGCCCUAAAAGCAUCAGCAUUAGGACAUUCGGGAGAACCUCAGGUCUACUGCUUUUUGUGUCCAUCAAAUACACUCUGCAGUGAAGUGCCUCACCUCACCUCAGGUCUUCUUCUGGAGAGCAUCAGAUUGCACAGGGGCAGGAAUGGAUUUUGCUAAUUUUAAUUUUGCAAGAGCCUGAACUUUCAGAUUUUGAACAAAUUUUGGAGUGACUGUUUUUCCCUUGUAAAGCAAAUGUACU